GCCCAGCACAGAGGGGGAAGCAGAGCUCACAGGGCGACUGCAGGGCUUGUGAGCGUUUCUGGAGCAGAAGUUUUCCUCACAGAGAGGGACACAGCAGACAGCAGGCACCAUGGAGCCCCCCUCAGGCCCUGCCCGCAGACGGUGCGCCCCCUCCAACAGGCUCCUGCUGGCAGCCUCACUCUUAACUUUCUGGCCCCUGCCCACCACUGCCCAGCUCACUAUUGAAGUGGUGCCCCCACUUGCUGCAGAAGGAUCGAAUGUCCUGCUACUUGCCCACAACGUGACAGAGAAUCCUCUAGGCUAUACCUGGUACACAGGAGACAGAGUAGAAAACCAGCAGCUAAUUGCAUCAUAUAGACCAGACACUAAUGUAACUACCAAAGGGCCUGCACACAGCGGUCGGGAGACACUUUACCCCAAUGGAACCCUGCUGAUCCAGCACGUCACCCAGAAAGACACAGGAUCCUACACCCUGCUCAUUUUAAAGAAUGAUUUACAGAAUGAAAGACAGCCUGGAUACCUCCACGUACACCCGGUGCUACCCACACCCGUCAUCACCAGCAACAACUCCAAGCCCUGGGAGCACGAGGACACUGUGGUGUUAACGUGUGGACCUGAGACCCAGAACACCUCCUACAUCUGGUGGAUCAACGAUCAGAGCCUCCCCAACAGCACGAGGCUGGAACUGUCUGAGGACAAGAGGACUCUCACUGUGUUCAAUGUGACACGGAAAGACACAGGGCCCUAUGUGUGUGAAGCCCGGAACCCAGUGAGUGUCCGCCGCAGUGACCCAUUCACCCUGCAGGUCCUCUACCCAGUGGCACGGCCCUCCCUCCAAGCCAGCAACACCACAGUCGCAGAACAUGAGGGUCCCGUGGUCCUGACCUGCCUCACAAAUGAGACUGGGGUCUCCAUACGCUGGUUCUUCGAAGGCCAGAGUCUCCUCCUCACAAGGGGGAUGACACUGUCCCUGGACAAUAGCACCCUCACCAUAGACCCCGUCAGCAGAAAAGACAAUGGGGAUUAUCAAUGUGAGGUCUCCAACAGGGGCAACUCCAGCAAAAGUGACCCCCUCAGGCUGCAUGUGAAAUAUAAACCGACAUCAGAAAGUUCCUCUGACCUCUCAACUGGUGCCGUUGUCGGCAUCGUGAUUGGAGCUGUGGCUGGGGUGGCUGCUCUGAUAGCAGCCCUGGUGUAUUUUCUGUACAUCAGAGAAACUAGACGGGCAACUGACCAGCGCGAUCUCACAGAACACAAAUCCUCAGAUCACAACCACAGUCCUCACACUCUUCCUAGUCAUGGAAGAGCCCCCAGAGACAUGGCCCCUCCGAGGCCACACAAGCCAGGCAGCCGUGAGAUGGCCGAGCUUCCAGGAGCCCUUUCCUCAUCCUACCUCCUUCCCCCUCCUGCCUCUGUUAUGGAUGCGGACAUCUCCUAUGGUCAAGGACACUCUGACAGUUCACCUGAAAAGGUUAAUGAAGUUGAAUAUUCCUCCGUGAACUUCAAUGCCCAGGAAUUAAAAAAGAAAGCAACUUCAGCCUCCCCAUCUCCAACACAUACAGAAACAAUUUAUUCAGAAGUGAAAAAACAGUAAUGGAACCUGUCCUGCUUGUUGCACUGUUGACUUAUUCCAAGCUUCCCACCUCCAUCCCCAGGGGAUCCCUCUGCCCUCAGGGAACAUGAGGAGAGAGUCUUCCCCCAGCUCCUUUGACCCCUAAUGAGGCUCCUCCAGGCUGCCUGGUCACAGCCCCUUCCUUCAGUGUCAGUGGAUGAAAAGGCACAUCCAUGAGGAGGUCUGUAGGAAACCAAAACUUCCUCGUCAUUGAAAUCUAGCAAAGCGGACCCUGGGAGAAAGUUGCCAGAACCUCUGCCCCUCCCCAUUUGCUGACCUAGACCAGUGUAAACUUGUGUAUUUAGAACACAUUCAUUCCUUCCCACCUCAGUCCUAUUGGAGUCUAACAUGAAUUUGCCAUAACCUGGAGAAUGAUUUCUUAUCCACUGAAAUGCCUGUGCCAGAAAAGAAGAGCAAGGAGAAGGAAAACGAAGAGCUUCUGCACUCUGAAGCCCAGUGUGAAUCCACCAUUCACAGGAAGACACAUACAUGACCAGCUCUGAGCUGGGAAGUUCUACACCUUUGUCCGCUUUCAGGGUUGUCUACCUGCAGGAUCAGGGACUAAACAACUUACUACUUAGCUAGAAUACCAUCUAAACCUUUGAAAGCAUGCCUUCAGAGAACCCACUAGAAGCAACUUGAAAACAACUGCUCAGCAUUCAUAAGUGUAUCUUGAUGGAAACUGCAAAAACAAACAAAAAAACCGCACAUACUGUUUUAAUAAUACUGUGGGCUUUAUUCAAGGCAAUGCCCGGAGACUGAGGGGUCAUCAGUUUAUGGGGCAGUCAGCUCUUACCAGAUACAAUCUGCUGGGAUUGGGGAAAGGACUCAGAAAACUACCCUGCAGAGAUUAUUUAAAUAAUGGUCAAAGAAUGUACAGUUUGGGGGUAUUGGUUAUUUUUUCCCUUCCUUCUGAGACAUUCUGCCAUUUUAACUUUUGUAACCGCUUGUUUGUGUGAAAGGGGUUCUGUUUAAUUUGCUGCAUAAGCCAAUCUGACCACUUCAGGGGGAUGAGCCUACCAAAGCUCCUCAUGUCCCUCUGGCCAUGAGCUCCCUAAGCCUUUUGUGUCAGGGGCUCCGCACAGAAAAUAAGAAGUAGCAGUUGUCUACCUUCACGGCCAGAAAUGGGUCUCACUCCAUUUCUAGGCAUCUCAGGCCAGUCAUCAACCCCCUUCUCUUCCGUGUUCCCGCCUGUGCCUGUUCUGUCCGUCUGCCCCACUUACCUUCUCAGGAGCCUUCUUGAGAAGCAGGAGCGCCCAGAAGGGAACACGGCCCCUUGCGCUGUUAGUAUUGUUUACAGCCCAGGAGGCCGCACUGGUGCGCAAGCUCCUUAGGACACAAGGUGCAGAUUAUGACUCAGCCCUGGGUUUCUUGAAGAGCCUCUGGAAUUCUUCUCCCAUGGGGUGCACGGGACCCAAUGUGUCGGCACAGAAAGGGAGGACGGGAGGAGGAGAGGUGCACCUGCUUCCCACCAGCCUUCUGCACAGGCGGGGCCUCCUUGGGCUGCUGAGAGAAAGGCUUUAUUCCACCUUCAUGACCGACCGCCUGCUGUGUGGAACUGGCCCCCGAGAGGGGUGGCUGGGAGCACUCUGUACUCAGGCAGAAGAAAUAGAAAUUGCUCAACAGGGAGUCAGAGUGAGCCUGUUUCUAAGUCCAGAGGUAUUUGAUCCUGGGAUCCGAGAGCUCAAUCAAUUCGUGUGCACACCUGCUGACAAAGUGUGUCCACCUAGAGCCACAGGUCACUGCUCCAACCUGCCUGGAAGGACCUGCCUGUCUUCCUCUGGGAGAGAAGGAGAGAAGAUGAUUUCAUGAGUAAAAGGUCUGCUGGGCUCUUCACUAGGGACACACCGCACUGCCCACACAGAUGGCUCCAGUGCGUCCCAUGCCUGAUCCAGCAUUCACUCCCACAGUCUCCAUGGGCUCAGCCCCUGAUUUCCCCUGGCCCUCAGCUGUGGUGCCUCCUUCCCAAGACCACUGGAAGCAGCAAUAAAGUCAGCACACAGGGGACUUCCCUGGCGGUAAAGAAUCCAUCUUCCACUGCAGGGGCCACUGGUCGAUUCCCUGGUCCAAGAAGAUCCCACAUGCCGUGGAGCAACUAAGUCCAUCUGCCACAACUACUGAGCCUGUGCUCUGCAACAAGAGAAACCACCGCAGUGAGAAGCCCACCCACCACAACUAGAGAGAGAGUCCUCACUCUCCACAACUAGAGAAAAGACUGUGAAGCAAUGAAGAUCAGCCAAACAUAAAAUAAAUGAACAAAUACUUUAUUUUGUUAA
RNA transcript from Dama dama (fallow deer), 3888 nucleotides. It is a transcript of the gene named carcinoembryonic antigen-related cell adhesion molecule 7-like, with no coding region annotated. Lineage: Eukaryota; Metazoa; Chordata; Mammalia; Artiodactyla; Cervidae. The record is from RefSeq and is a predicted model, not a curated record. The transcript is spliced from 11 exons.